Molecule: ribosomal RNA, 517 nt
Filed under: uncultured bacterium
Lineage: Bacteria
Description: partial 16S ribosomal RNA
Rfam family: Bacterial small subunit ribosomal RNA
Source: RNAcentral
AACGAACGCUGGCGGCGUGGAUAAGACAUGCAAGUCGAACGGGACUUUUUUCUGUAGCAAUACAGAGAAAAGUCUAGUGGCGAACGGGUGCGUAACACGUGAGCAACCUGCCGUGAAAUGGGGGAUAGCUCGCCGAAAGGCGAAUUAGUACCGCAUGUGGCCAAGGAAGACAUCUUCCUGACGCCAAAGCCGGGGCAACCUGGCGCUUCUCGAGGGGCUCGCGGCCUAUCAGCUUGUUGGUGAGGUAACGGCUCACCAAGGCUAUGACGGGUAGCUGGUCUGAGAGGACGACCAGCCACACUGGAAUUGAGACACGGUCCAGACACCUACGGGUGGCAGCAGUCGAGAAUUUUUCACAAUGGGGGAAACCCUGAUGGAGCGACGCCGCGUGGAGGAUGAAGGUUUUCGGAUUGUAAACUCCUGUCAUUAGAGAACAAGGCACACGGUUUAACUGACCGUGUGUUGAUAGUAUCUGAAGAGGAAGAGACGGCUAACUCUGUGCCAGCCGCCGCGGUAA